Molecule: long non-coding RNA, 648 nt
Filed under: Bos taurus (domestic cattle)
Lineage: Eukaryota; Metazoa; Chordata; Mammalia; Artiodactyla; Bovidae
Description: long non-coding RNA NONBTAT004711
Source: RNAcentral
AACCAAUUAAGUGAAUAAAACAAUGCUAUAAUUUAUUUUACUAAAGAUAAAUUUUGCAUAGGUUGUUUAGGUUUAAGAGCAAAUUUUUAUGAGUCAAAUACUUGUUGCCUAUGCUGGUUUCCAUAGGCAUGAUGGAACAAUGAUGAAGCUUUUCUCAUUAAAGAGUAUAUUUGUUUGGGGGGGGGGGGCUUGUGUAAUAAAAAAUAAGAUGGUAGAGGGAAAGUUUCUGGCUUCUUUCUUUCUUUUUAGACUAUUAGUGCCUUCAACAUCAGGUAUACACAAUGCUGGGAUAAUCAAUAGUGAAUAGGGUGCUACCCAAGCUAAAAGCUCUCAGAUAAUUUUAAAUAAUUGUUAGGAAUUAUGCUUUCAUCACUAAGUUACAUUUACAUAAUUCUUUACUUAGUGCUUUCACAUAAAUAACAAUUAUGGUAAUGAAUGUGUUUAAAACAGUGAAGGUAGUUUGAAAAAUUCAUCUCAGCUUUCUUUUCACCAGAUAGUCAUCAACUUCUAUGAGAAGUUGAUGGUAUAUAUUUGGACAUGCUCUCCAAGGCCAAUUUGUGGUUUAUUCUGAAUGUAUUACCUUUAAAAAGAACCAUUUUUCCUAAUAGCUUAAAAAUUAGAGCUUGGUAGUACUGAGAAUUAAAGCCC